GAAACAGGAAUGGGACUGGAGGAGGGGUGGGGGUGGGGUGCAGCUCUCAGUGAAUUAGGUCUUUUCUAUAGAUUCCAUAAGACUACAUAAUGAGCCGCUUUUUCUGCCUCCUGGUCGCUCAGCUACUGCUCUGACCUCCCAGGGGCCAGAGGAGGGGGUCAACCCUCCCUGUUAAACGUGCUCUGCCUUUGGUUACCUGGUGUUGCUCUGGGAGGAAGACCAGCUUCGGGAGCAGGCUGUUGGGGUCUGCUGCAGAGGGUGGAAUACGUGCAGCCCAGCCGUCCUGCCUACCACACCCCUGGCAAGGAGCUGCACCUCGCUGAGCUCAGUUCCCCCAUCUGUAAAGGAGACCAGAAUAAUCCCAGCCUCACGAGGCCAUUGCCAGGACUGAGGGAAACUAUGCUAAUGACUGCCUAGGGUCAACUGAGUAAAGCACUCAGUUGAGGACAACCAUUAUGAUUUUUCUGAUUUCUGGCCAAGGACCCAGCACAGCCUACACCUGAAGCAUGCGACUAAGAGUGUGACCCCGGCAGGAGCGCCUAGGACACAUGGC
Molecule: long non-coding RNA, 553 nt
Filed under: Homo sapiens (human)
Lineage: Eukaryota; Metazoa; Chordata; Mammalia; Primates; Hominidae
Description: HSALNT0045905
Source: RNAcentral